AGUGAACGCUGGCGGUAGGCCUAACACAUGCAAGUCGAACGGCAGCACAGUAAGAGCUUGCUCUUACGGGUGGCGAGUGGCGGACGGGUGAGGAAUACAUCGGAAUCUACUUUUUCGUGGGGGAUAACGUAGGGAAACUUACGCUAAUACCGCAUACGACCUACGGGUGAAAGCAGGGGAUCUUCGGACCUUGCGCGAUUGAAUGAGCCGAUGUCGGAUUAGCUAGUUGGCGGGGUAAAGGCCCACCAAGGCGACGAUCCGUAGCUGGUCUGAGAGGAUGAUCAGCCACACUGGAACUGAGACACGGUCCAGACUCCUACGGGAGGCAGCAGUGGGGAAUAUUGGACAAUGGGCGCAAGCAUGAUCCAGCCAUACCGCGUGGGUGAAGAAGGACUUCGGGUUGUAAAGCCCUUUUGUUGGGAAAGAAAAGCAGCAGGUUAAUACCCCGCUGUUCUGACGGUACCCAAAGAAUAAGCACCGGCUAACUUCGUG
This 492-nucleotide ribosomal RNA is filed under the name uncultured bacterium. Its description in RNAcentral is "partial 16S ribosomal RNA". It matches the Rfam family "Bacterial small subunit ribosomal RNA", at positions 29 to 507 of the family's 1533-position model. The record is from RNAcentral.